RNAcentral lists this unclassified non-coding RNA (422 nucleotides) under Hevea brasiliensis (rubber tree). Lineage: Eukaryota; Viridiplantae; Streptophyta; Magnoliopsida; Malpighiales; Euphorbiaceae. The record is from RNAcentral.
GAUCUCAAGUGUGCCAUUAAAAGAGAGGCCAAGAGACUGUUCACCGCUCUCAAAUAUUCGCCUGAAAGAGUCCUUAAAAACGGAGUGUCCAAAACUUUCUGCCAAAACAACAAGGCCACCUGUCCUUUCAACAACCAGUUUCAUUUCUGCAACCCCAACCUGGUCAAGGGCAGAAGCAAAGAGAUCCAAGACAUGUCCCUGGCUCACCAGCUGUUUUGCAAGAUUAUCAUAAAAUUUAGUUGCCUUGUGAAAAUGUGGUGCUGCAUCUUUAUCUAGAUCUUUGUGAGAGCGCACUGGCUCGGAGAGAUCUUUCGACACAAUCAUUCCAGGGCCCUCUGUACACGGCCCGCCAACCAAGGCAAUGAUGCGGGCCCCCGUCCCUGGCAAGCACGCCCCCAGCAAGCCUGACGCAACACUUAGAG